ACGAGCGGGGUCAAAUCCUUUGCAGACGACUUAGCUGUGCGAAACGGUCCUGUAAGCAGUAGAGUAGCCUUGUUGUUACGAUCUGCUGAGGGUAAGCCGUCCUUCGCCUCGAUUUCCCCAAUGGGUUCUCCGGAUUUCUGGAGACUUGUAGGGGUUGUGGGCUUUUUUCGAUGUGUCGUCUCUGGACGGGCGGUGCAGGGUAGUCGAGUUGGACUUGGUGGAAUUUCAUUCCGUCGAGUCUGGCGGGACUUUGUGCGGCUGUGUGCUGGACGGUGCAGGGUAGGCUGCUUGGUCUUGGUCGAUUUGAGGAUCGAUUCGAGGGCUGGGCGCUGGUAGCUUGAGGUGUAUGCGGUCUAGGGUAGGCUGGUUUGUCUUGGUCGAAUUUGAUGUUGGCUUCCGUGCGGACCAGAUCGAGCGUGGUACAG
This 425-nucleotide ribosomal RNA is filed under the name Fusarium circinatum. RNAcentral describes it as "partial 28S ribosomal RNA". The stretch from base 1 to 117 matches the Rfam family "Eukaryotic large subunit ribosomal RNA", at positions 3286 to 3401 of the family's 3401-position model. The record is from RNAcentral. Lineage: Eukaryota; Fungi; Ascomycota; Sordariomycetes; Hypocreales; Nectriaceae.